Molecule: ribosomal RNA, 475 nt
Filed under: uncultured bacterium
Lineage: Bacteria
Description: bacterial SSU rRNA
Rfam family: Bacterial small subunit ribosomal RNA
Source: RNAcentral
UUGAACGAUUCUUCGGAUGAGGGAUGGUCCCUAGUAGAGUGGCGAACGGGUGAGUAGCGCGUGGGCAACCUGCCCUAAAGUUCGGGGAUAACAUCCCAAACGGGGUGCUAAUACCGCAUGUGAUGUGAGUGUCGCAUGGCACACACAAGAAAGAUGGCCUCUGCUUGCAAGCUAUCGCUUCUAGAUGGUCUCGCGUCCGAUUAGCUUGUUGGUGGGUAAAAGCUCACCAAGGCGACGAUCGGUAGCUGGUCUGAGAGGAUGGUCAGCCACACUGGGACUGAGAUACGGCCCAGACUCCUACGGGAGGCAGCAGUCGAGAGGCUUUGUCAAUGGGGGAAACCCUGAACAAGCGACGCCGCGUGGGGGAUGAAGGCCUUUGGGUUGUAAACCCCCUUUCAGUAGGGACGAAAGUUAUGCGGGUGAAUAAUCCGUGUAGUUGACGGUACCUACAGAAGAAGCUCCGGCUAACUCCGUG